ACGAACGCUGGCGGCGUGCUUCACACAUGCAGGUCGAACGGUGAAGCGCCUUCCUUUUUGGUGGGUGUGGAUGAGUGGCGAACGGGUGAGUAACACGUGAGUAACCUGCCCCCUUCUUCUGGAUAACCGCAUGAAAGUGUGGCUAAUACGGGAUAUUCUGGGUCUGUCGCAUGAUGGGUCUGGGAAAGAUAUUGUUUCGGUGGGGGAUGGGCUCGCGGCCUAUCAGCUUGUUGGUGGGGUGAUGGCCUACCAAGGCGGUGACGGGUAGCCGGCCUGAGAGGGUUGACGGUCACACUGGGACUGAGACACGGCCCAGACUCCUACGGGAGGCAGCAGUGGGGAAUAUUGCACAAUGGGCGCAAGCCUGAUGCAGCGACGCCGCGUGGGGGAUGGAGGCCUUCGGGUUGUGAACCUCUUUCGCCAGUGAAGCAGGCCUGCCUCGUUUGUGGGUGGGUUGACGGUAGCUGGAUAAGAAGCGCCGGCUAACUACGUG
Molecule: ribosomal RNA, 493 nt
Filed under: uncultured bacterium
Lineage: Bacteria
Description: partial 16S ribosomal RNA
Rfam family: Bacterial small subunit ribosomal RNA
Source: RNAcentral